RNAcentral lists this ribosomal RNA (455 nucleotides) under uncultured bacterium. RNAcentral's name for it is "bacterial SSU rRNA". It matches the Rfam family "Bacterial small subunit ribosomal RNA", at positions 8 to 463 of the family's 1533-position model. The record is from RNAcentral.
AGAGUUUGAACCUGGCUCAGAUUGAACGCUGGCGGCAUGCUUUACACAUGCAAGUCGAACGGCAGCACGGGUGCUUGCACCUGGUGGCGAGUGGCGAACGGGUGAGUAAUGCACCGGAACGUACCCAGUAAUGGGGGAUAACACAUCGAAAGAUGUGCUAAUACCGCAUACGCCCUGAGGGGGAAAGCGGGGGAUCGUAAGACCUCGCGUUAUUGGAGCGGCCGAUGCCGGAUUAGCUAGUUGGUGAGGUAAGAGCUCACCAAGGCGACGAUCCGUAGCUGGUCUGAGAGGACGACCAGCCACACUGGGACUGAGACACGGCCCAGACUCCUACGGGAGGCAGCAGUGGGGAAUUUUGGACAAUGGGCGCAAGCCUGAUCCAGCCAUGCCGCGUGAGUGAAGAAGGCCUUCGGGUUGUAAAGCUCUUUCGCAAGGAAAGAAAACUUAUCUACUAA